CGUAACGGUUUAGCCUAUUGAAACCAAACUUGGUGUAUGUUGUAACAAGCAUAGCCUGAGGCUACCUGCACUGUUUUGGUGCAGUGCCCCCUAGUGGUCAGGAGAUACGAAAAAUGCAUAUUUUUGCACAGAACUUCUGAAUGGUUUGGUCAAAAAUCACAAAACUGGUCUCUUCAGAUUUGGUGCAUCAUGUUGAAUCAAAUGAUACCCAGUUUUCCCAUGUCAGCCAUUUUGGGCGUCGGCCAUUUUGAAUUAUUAACUAAGUUGCUGUAUUUCACAAACCCAUUAGCGUAUCGUUACGACACUAAUUACAAAAAUGUUCGACACCGUGCCCUGAUGGUACUCAAAAACUUUGGGCACAGCGCCACCUUGUGGUCAAAAGUUAUAAAGAAAUUUAACAUAUAUGCUAAUAACGUUUGAAUACAUUGGACUAUUGGAAUGAAACUGGUCUCCCUAAAUUCUUUGGAUCAUGCCGAGACCAUCGUUACCAAUUACGACAAAAUUGGCCAAACUUCCUGUCCGCCAUUUUGAUUCAUGUUGAAAACCUAAUUUGUCAAACUCCUCCUAGACCGUUAGUCCAAUUUUCACCAAAUGUGACUCAGAUCAUCUUCAGACGAUGCUGGCAAAAAGUUAUGGAUUUCGUGUCGAUAUACGAAACGGUUUUCGUUUAGCGCACCAACGAAUUUGCUGGAAGGAUGCCAAAAUGUAUCUGAGGCUGUAUCUCUACACAGAUUUGACAUAUUUACACCAAACUUUGCAUGUGCCAUUGUCACCACAAAUUGAUCACGCCACAUUAAUUUGGUAACAGCGCCACCUAUUGGUAUGGAGUAAUAAACAUUCAUUAAUUCUUAAUUAUUAGCAUUUUUAAAAUUUCAUAACUUUUGAUUGGAUUGACCUAUUGUAAUGAAACUGAUCUUAAAAUAUUUCUUGGGUCAUGCCGACAACAUACAUAUCAAUUAUGUCAUAAUAAGCCGAACUUUCUGUCGGCCAUUUUGAUUUAUGUUGAAAACCUACUUUUUUGAUCUCCUCAUUAACCUUUGGUCCAAUUUUCACCAAAAUCGAGUACAAUCAUCUUCAGACUGUGCUGACAAAAAGUUAUGGAUUUCGUGUCGAUAGACGCAACCGUUUUUGUACAGUGCCUCUAUAAACUUUAAGCACUGUGUCAAAAUGACUCCAAGGCUAUAUCUCUUCAAAGCUUUGACAUACUGACACCAUAUUUUGUAUGUGCAAUAGUCUCCUUACACUGACCAUUCCACACUAAUUUGGUAACAGUGCCACCUACUGGUCAAACAUGAUAAGCCAAUAAAUCCUAUUACUAGUUGUUGUCUUUAUUGUUUUCAAGCCAUUUAGCCUAAAAUAAUCUUAAAACAGUUUUAUUUACUCAUUCCCGCCGUUUGUCUGAAGCUUGCUCCUGUAGUGCUUGGCCCCGUAAUUGCUGCUUGCAGCUAUAUUUAGGGGCCAAGCACCGAAGGUGCGUAGGCACCUAUUGUAUCCGUUGGCGUUAUUAUUAUUCUUCUUCUUCUUCUUCUUCUUCUUCCGCCGCAAGUCUAUGGCAGCCCAUAGAACCGAUUACGGGAAAGUUGUAUAAUUUGGC
Long non-coding RNA from Cyprinus carpio carpio, 1594 nucleotides. NCBI's taxonomy places the organism in Eukaryota, Metazoa, Chordata, Actinopteri, Cypriniformes, Cyprinidae. The record is from Ensembl.